GAUGAACGCUGGCGGCGUGCCUAAUACAUGCCAGUCGAGCGAACCUAUUUGUAGCUUGCUCCUCUGACGUUAGCGGCGGACGGGUGAGUAACACGUGGUUAACCUAUCUAUAAGACUGGGAUAACUUCGGGAAACCGGCGCUAAUACCGGAUAAUAUAUUGAACCGCAUGGUUCCCUAGUGAAAGACUGUUUUUCUGUCACUUAUAGAUGGAUCCGCACCGCAUUAGCUAUUUGGUAAGGUAACGGCUUACCAAGGCAACGAUGCGUAGCCGACCUGAGAGGGUGAUCGGCCACACUGGAACUGAGACACGGUCCAGACUCCUACGGGAGGCAGCAGUAGGGAAUCUGCCGCAAUGGGCGAAAGCCUGACGGAGCAACGCCGCGUGAGUGAUGAAGGUCUACGGAUCGUAAAACUCUGUUAUUAGGGAAGAACAAAUGUGUAAGUAACUAUGCACGUCUUGACGGUACCUAAUCAGAAAGCCACGGCUAACUACGUG
This 497-nucleotide ribosomal RNA is filed under the name uncultured bacterium. RNAcentral describes it as "partial 16S ribosomal RNA". It matches the Rfam family "Bacterial small subunit ribosomal RNA", at positions 28 to 507 of the family's 1533-position model. The record is from RNAcentral.